Molecule: ribosomal RNA, 561 nt
Filed under: uncultured bacterium
Lineage: Bacteria
Description: bacterial SSU rRNA
Rfam family: Bacterial small subunit ribosomal RNA
Source: RNAcentral
CGGAACGUGCCCAAUCGUGGGGGAUAGCUCGGCGAAAGCCGGAUUAAUACCGCAUACGAUCUACGGAUGAAAACAGGGGACUCGCAAGAGCCUUGCGCGAAUGGAGCGGCCGAUGGCAGAUUAGGUAGUUGGUGGGGUAAAGGCUCACCAAGCCGACGAUCUGUAGCUGGUCUGAGAGGACGACCAGCCACACUGGGACUGAGACACGGCCCAGACUCCUACGGGAGGCAGCAGUGGGGAAUUUUGGACAAUGGGCGCAAGCCUGAUCCAGCAAUGCCGCGUGCAGGAUGAAGGCCUUCGGGUUGUAAACUGCUUUUGUACGGAACGAAAAGGCUCUGGUUAAUACCUGGGGCUCAUGACGGUACCGUAAGAAUAAGCACCGGCUAACUACGUGCCAGCAGCCGCGGUAAUACGUAGGGUGCGAGCGUUAAUCGGAAUUACUGGGCGUAAAGCGUGCGCAGGCGGUGAUGUAAGACAGUUGUGAAAUCCCCGGGCUCAACCUGGGAACUGCAUCUGUGACUGCAUCGCUGGAGUGCGGCAGAGGGGGAUGGAAUUCCGCGU